Long non-coding RNA from Mustela erminea (ermine), 80 nucleotides. RefSeq lists it as uncharacterized. The record is from RefSeq and is a predicted model, not a curated record. The transcript is spliced from 3 exons. NCBI's taxonomy places the organism in Eukaryota, Metazoa, Chordata, Mammalia, Carnivora, Mustelidae.
GGGAGAGGGAGAAGCAGGCUCCCCACCGAGCAGGAAACCCCAUGGGCCUAGAUCCCAGGCCUCUGGGCAGCGGCUUAACC